Long non-coding RNA from Apis mellifera (honey bee), 1077 nucleotides. RefSeq lists it as uncharacterized. The record is from RefSeq and is a predicted model, not a curated record. The transcript is spliced from 3 exons. Lineage: Eukaryota; Metazoa; Arthropoda; Insecta; Hymenoptera; Apidae.
AAAUACCUUUUAAUUGGAGCAAAAGCAAAGUGUGGACUUGAUGACAUCCUAGGACUUUCUAAGGGACUGCCUACAAUCGGGACAAACGCUAUAUAAGGAAAUAAGCAGUCGAACUGGAGCUUCCUUACUCUCCACUUUAGAUGGAAUUGGAUGUUUUUGUAUUUCUGCUUCAGUACUACAAGCAGAUUCUUCACUUUCAGCUUGAUCAAAUACGAGUACUCUGGCUGAAUUGCCAUGAGAUCGAAGACGAGGUCUACUAGGAAAGAAAACAAAGCAAGAAAUAAGUCUGAUAAACGAGAUUAUCAGAAAAUUCACAAGCCAUUCUUUCUUAUAAAAGUUCGAUCGACGUCGAGACUGACAGUUUAAAAUCGGUCGAAUGCACGAGUUGGAGAAGCAUUUGUGUAUGCCUACACUUUUGAUAGCUUAAAAUGCCGUCUCACAUACAACCCUUUCUUAUGCUGCUGCUGUAUGAAAAUUCAUAACAUAUAAAAGAACAGGAAAUAAAUUAUACUUUGGUCGAUUGAAAAGGGAACUGUAGGCGAUUCGAAGAAUCGAAGCAGGGACCCGUUUUAAAUAAGAUGUAUAUACCUGUAGACGAAAGAGAGAGAAACAAGAGUCCAACGAAAGAACAGAAGCGGGAUAUAAAAGGUUCAACGAGAGAAACAAGAGAAGAAAAUACACAACACUAAGCACACAUAAUGGAUAUGAACAUAGCAGGAGGAAGAUAAAAGAUACGCAAUUUACCGGGCACAACGGGCAUGUCCUUUGAGGACAAGCGGCCCGGGAGUAAGCAGGUGUUGUAGUCCUGGCUCUAGAGUCGCAUUUUUCUCGUCACUAUAAAAAUUAAUUACGAAAUACAGACCGACAUGGGUUCUGACUCAUGAUGGAUGUACACACAUGCACAUUCUCAUGUAUACGCAUGUGCAUUUAUACAUGGACGCACGCGCAACACUGAUGCAUGAAAACGCGCACAAAUACACGUAUCCUUGGCCACAAGUUGCACUGUAAAAUCAACAUCAUACUCUUUAUAGCGGAAUAUGAAUGCUUUCUGAUGUAUUAAAUAUAUUAGUGUUCAUA